This is a long non-coding RNA of Solanum tuberosum (potato), 756 nucleotides long. RefSeq lists it as uncharacterized. The record is from RefSeq and is a predicted model, not a curated record. NCBI's taxonomy places the organism in Eukaryota, Viridiplantae, Streptophyta, Magnoliopsida, Solanales, Solanaceae. The transcript has 4 exons.
UCUUAGGGUAGAUUCACAAAUCUCAUUUUCCCCAAAAUACCAUUCUUCGUUCCAAGGAAACCCUAUCUCCUUCAUACCUUUCCCCGUGAAGUUCAACUAGCGAUUUCUCCUCUCCCUUUCCCUACGCCCUAGUAGAUCGACUCUAUACAAAGAGAAUUUGAAGAAAUGAACAUGAAUUUUUGCUUGGGUCCUUAAGAUUCUGUGAAAAUGGACUCAGGUGACGAUUAUUCGGAAAUCAGAAUCAUGUAAUUCAGCUACUGAUGCUGAGAAAACGGGUUCAGGGGCGGACUCACGUUGGUUCCAGGGUUCACCCGAACCCCCUCGGCAAAAAAUUACACUGUAUAUAUACGUUUGAGGACGUGGAAGUUCAGGAACCACGUCUCAGCCAGAAAAUACAACCAAUAGGGAUUACCGAGGUAUCUCUAGAGACGGGAUAAUCAUGUACUUCAAGAGAAGGGCCUCUACAAACAGGACAAGAUGUUCCAAGAACAAAUGGUUGCUAUCAUGACUAGAAUGCAAUAGGAACAAGGUUCUUAAAUAAUGGGGCUGCCCAAGGAUAAGCCUGAAGGCGUGCAAUGAAGUUUUUAGAUCAAAUGUGUGUAUGCAUAUAAUGUCACCUAUGUAAUAUGUAGUAUGCAAUUGGCUUUCUAGUAGUGGACUUAUAAUAUUCAGCUUGAGGAUGCUUUUGCAGUUUGUAAAAUACUACUGCUUUUAAUAGUUAUAUAUCAAUUUUAGAGAAUUUUAUUGCAUGGAAAA